RNAcentral lists this ribosomal RNA (441 nucleotides) under uncultured bacterium. Its description in RNAcentral is "partial 16S ribosomal RNA". It matches the Rfam family "Bacterial small subunit ribosomal RNA", at positions 338 to 795 of the family's 1533-position model. The record is from RNAcentral.
CCUACGGGUGGCAGCAGUGGGGAAUAUUGCACAAUGGGGGAAACCCUGAUGCAGCGACGCCGCGUGAGUGAAGAAGUAUUUCGGUAUGUAAAGCUCUAUCAGCAGGGAAGAAGCAAGACGGUACCUGACUAAGAAGCCCCGGCUAACUACGUGCCAGCAGCCGCGGUAAUACGUAGGGGGCAAGCGUUAUCCGGAUUUACUGGGUGUAAAGGGAGCGUAGACGGUAUGGCAAGUCUGAAGUGAAAGCCUAGGGCUUAACCCUGGGACUGCUUUGGAAACUGGUAGACUAGAGUGCUGGAGAGGUAGGUGGAAUUCCUGGUGUAGCGGUGAAAUGCGUAGAUAUUAGGAGGAACACCGAUGGCGAAGGCGGCUUACUGGACAGUAACUGACGUUGAGGCUCGAAAGCGUGGGGAGCAAACAGGAUUAGAUACCCCAGUAGUC